GCACCCGUAGCUCAGCUGGAUAGAGUACUGCCCUCCGAAGGCAGGGGUCGUGAGUUCGAAUCUCGCCGGGUGCACCA
Molecule: transfer RNA, 77 nt
Filed under: Alphaproteobacteria bacterium
Lineage: Bacteria; Pseudomonadati; Pseudomonadota; Alphaproteobacteria
Description: tRNA-Arg
Rfam family: tRNA
About the family: Transfer RNA (tRNA) molecules are approximately 80 nucleotides in length. Their secondary structure includes four short double-helical elements and three loops (D, anti-codon, and T loops). Further hydrogen bonds mediate the characteristic L-shaped molecular structure. tRNAs have two regions of fundamental functional importance: the anti-codon, which is responsible for specific mRNA codon recognition, and the 3' end, to which the tRNAs corresponding amino acid is attached (by aminoacyl-tRNA synthetases). tRNAs cope with the degeneracy of the genetic code in two manners: having more than one tRNA (with a specific anti-codon) for a particular amino acid; and 'wobble' base-pairing, i.e. permitting non-standard base-pairing at the 3rd anti-codon position.
Source: RNAcentral